UACGGAGGAUGCAAGCGUUAUCCGGAAUGAUUGGGCGUAAAGCGUCCGCAGGUGGCUUUGUAAGUCUGCUGUUAAAGAGUGAGGCUCAACCUCAUAAAAGCAGUGGAAACUACAAGGCUUGAGUACGUUCGGGGCAGAGGGAAUUCCUGGUGUAGCGGUGAAAUGCGUAGAGAUCAGGAAGAACACCGGUGGCGAAAGCGCUCUGCUAGGCCGUAACUGACACUGAGGGACGAAAGCUAGGGGAG
RNAcentral lists this ribosomal RNA (245 nucleotides) under uncultured Cyanobacterium sp. Its description in RNAcentral is "partial 16S ribosomal RNA". It matches the Rfam family "Bacterial small subunit ribosomal RNA", at positions 524 to 768 of the family's 1533-position model. Lineage: Bacteria; Bacillati; Cyanobacteriota; Cyanophyceae; Chroococcales; Geminocystaceae. The record is from RNAcentral.